This 216-nucleotide ribosomal RNA is filed under the name Glomeromycotina sp. Its description in RNAcentral is "partial small subunit ribosomal RNA". The stretch from base 40 to 216 matches the Rfam family "Eukaryotic small subunit ribosomal RNA", at positions 686 to 864 of the family's 1831-position model. The record is from RNAcentral. Lineage: Eukaryota; Fungi; Glomeromycota.
GGGUCAGUAGGUUGGUCGUGCCACCGGUACGUACUGGUCUCACUGAUUCCUCCUUCCUGAAGAACCGUAAUGCCAUUAAUUUGGUGUUGCGGGGAAACAGGACUGUUACUUUGAAAAAAUUAGAGUGUUUAAAGCAAGCUAACGCUUGAAUAUAUUAGCAUGGAAUAAUGAAAUAGGACGAUCGAUCCUAUUUUGCUGGUUUCUAGGAUUGACGUA